RNAcentral lists this ribosomal RNA (618 nucleotides) under Sterigmatomyces halophilus. Its description in RNAcentral is "eukaryotic LSU rRNA". The stretch from base 159 to 314 matches the Rfam family "5.8S ribosomal RNA". The record is from RNAcentral. Lineage: Eukaryota; Fungi; Basidiomycota; Agaricostilbomycetes; Agaricostilbales; Agaricostilbaceae.
UGAUCGGCGCUCGACUCUGAAUAUUGAGAUCGGCCCCAUUUCUUAAUCCACUUCACACUUGUGCACAUUUUUCCUACUUUCCUUCGGGAGAGUUUGAAAAGCUCUUGUGAUUUUAAUCAAGUCCAGGAUGUGAAUCCAAUUUGAAUAAGUUGUAAAACAACUACAAACGGUGGAUCUCUUGGCUCUCGUAUCGAUGAAGAACGCAGCGAAACGCGAAAUUGUAAUGUGAAUUGCAGAAUUCAGUGAAUCAUCGAAUCUUUGAACGCAUCUUGCACUCUCGAAUCACUAUCGAGAGUAUGCCUGUUUGAGUGUCGCGAAACUCUCAACCCCGCCUCAUGCUUUAUCGCGUGUGGGUAGCUUGGGCUUGGAUCAUGAUCUUUGCAGUAAUGCGCUAGCAGAACUGCUGGAUUGAAAUACAACAAGCUGAAUCUAUAUACUUGCGGCUUGACCUGUCGUUGUAAGCACACAAAUGCAUUCGAUGGGGACGCGAGAAAAUGGAAUGAGCUUUCCAAAUGUGUUACACUUUGCAGCUUCUAUUAACUUAGAGCUCUUAGUGCAUUCUGACCUCAAAUCAGGUAGGAUUACCCGCUGAACUUAAGCAUAUCAAUAAGCGGAGGA